GGGGGGGGGGGGGGGUGGGGGGGGCGGGUGGGGGGCGGGGGGGGGGGGCCGGGUUGUGGGGGGUGUUGGGGGGGGGAACGGGGGGCUAACUCGUGAGGCACCGGGCCGGGGCGUUGGGAGAAGUUCCAGCAGGUGGGGAGACGCCGCAAAGGGAGAAACUGCCGAGUUGAGGGGACGAGAGUGUAUCGGCGGUUGGGGAUGGACUCGCGGCGUAUCAGCUUGUUGGUGGGGUAGUGGCUUACCAAGGCUUUGACGGGUAGCCGGCCUGAGAGGGUGACCGGCCACAUUGGGACUGAGAUACGGCCCAGACUCCUACGGGAGGCAGCAGUGGGGAAUAUUGCACAAUGGGCGGAAGCCUGAUGCAGCAACGCCGCGUGCGGGAUGACGGCCUUCGGGUUGUAAACCGCUUUCGCCUGUGACGAAGCGUGAGUGACGGUAAUGGGUAAAGAAGCACCGGCUAACUACGUG
This 468-nucleotide ribosomal RNA is filed under the name uncultured bacterium. RNAcentral describes it as "partial 16S ribosomal RNA". The stretch from base 54 to 468 matches the Rfam family "Bacterial small subunit ribosomal RNA", at positions 37 to 507 of the family's 1533-position model. The record is from RNAcentral.